Molecule: unclassified non-coding RNA, 308 nt
Filed under: plant metagenome
Description: partial contains small subunit ribosomal RNA, internal transcribed spacer 1, and 5.8S ribosomal RNA
Source: RNAcentral
UUUCCGUAGGUGAACCUGCGGAAGGAACAUUACAAAAAAGUCUUUUUGCUUUAUUGCAAAAAGUCUUUUUAAAUAAAAAGAUCACACCUUGCUUAAUCGUUUCAUGUCUCUGGUAGUUUAAAUGUUAAGCUGGCCACCAGUGCCCAGUUUAGUAUGUCCUAUGAACACUCGUUAAGAGAAUUUUAUAGGGGGCUACCGCAGGGGAAACCCGGAUCUUUAUUAAAUCCUUAAGUCUGUUUAAAUUGACUGAAGUUUAUUUAUCUCUUGAUAAUUAAUAACAACUUUUGGCAACGGAUCUCUUGGCUCUC